This 72-nucleotide transfer RNA is filed under the name Candidatus Portnoyibacteriota bacterium. Its description in RNAcentral is "Candidatus Portnoybacteria bacterium tRNA-Met". It matches the Rfam family "tRNA". From Rfam's summary of the family: Transfer RNA (tRNA) molecules are approximately 80 nucleotides in length. Their secondary structure includes four short double-helical elements and three loops (D, anti-codon, and T loops). Lineage: Bacteria; Candidatus Portnoyibacteriota. The record is from RNAcentral.
UGCGGGGUGGAGCAGUAGUAGCUCGUCUGGCUCAUAACCAGAAGGUCGUAGGUGCAAAUCCUACCCCCGCGA